Long non-coding RNA from Anolis carolinensis (green anole), 3489 nucleotides. RefSeq lists it as uncharacterized. The record is from RefSeq and is a predicted model, not a curated record. Lineage: Eukaryota; Metazoa; Chordata; Lepidosauria; Squamata; Anolidae. The transcript is spliced from 3 exons.
GGGGAAGGGUUACAGGGGGUGAUCUUUAUUCCAAGAUCCCAGCCUCUGUCUCUGUAGUUAGGGAUUUCUGUGUUGUGGUUGCCUUUCUGAGGUAACUGUGACUAUUAUUCUUCCCCAAUUAGGUGAUUUAUUAAGGUAACUGCCACCAACGUGAGGCUUUUGAAUUAUCACCGAUGAAAUUUGGCUCCACAGACGCAGAUAAGAUGAAAUGAAUCAGUUGUUAACAAAGAACAACAAGUUUAUUGCGUACAAAGCUUAUGGUUACAGGUUGAUUGAUUUACUUAUGGAACUUUAGAUAAACAAGUGGUUUAAUAACUCUUAUAACCACCACAACAGUAGUCUCUGGUGUAAAUCCACCCUCACUCUCCUACUGAUGAUAUAAAUUGUAGUGAACUCUAACCUCAGCUGAGCUCCUUAGUGAACAAUGUCCCAACUACAAUAAAAACUUUUAAUUUGAUCUAAUACCGAUCAAAUCCCUGAUCACUAGUCUUUCUCAACCAGAGAUCUUGACUAGGCUCCCUUUAGUCUGCCUUGACUAAAGAUUGUUGGCCAGGCCUGUCUCAGCCCUUCUUGACUGAAAAGCCUCCAGCCACGCACACACACACACUCUCUCUCUCUGGCUUCUCUUUUUAAAAACUUCCUUUUUUUCCUUUUCUUGGCUCCGCCCACUUCUCCCUCUCAUGAGCUAGCCAGCUUCGUCUCCUUGAUAACAGCACUACUGUGGAUUGAAACAAGAUGGCUUCUGUUUCAGCUACUGUGUCAACUAAAACACAAAUACAUACUCCAACAGACAAAAUUAAACACAAUAACUAUGACUUUGCCACAUUCAUCAACUGCAACAUUUUGCUACAUGCACCACCAAAGGAGUCAUUUACCUUAUUACUUGUCCCUGUUCCUUGAUGUAUGUCGGCCAGACCAGUAGACAAAUUAAACUCCGUGUAACAGAACACAAGAGUAAGAUUAGGAAUCAGACCAUUGACUCAAGCCUGUAUAAACAUUUUAAUGACACGAACCAUAGUCCUGAAUCAUUCAGGGUUCUAGUCCUAGAGGCAGUUACUUCUUCCUCAAACAUAGAUUUAUGCACCAAACUACAACAACGGGAAGCCUUCUGGAUAUUCACUCUUAACACAGUUCACCCUAAGGGUCUCAAUUAUUCUAUUUCAUUUCAAUGUUUUCUGUGAGCUUGGUGUAUACCUUUGGUGAAGUUCAAAUAGGUUCUUUUUAUGUAAAACUUCUUUCAAAUGGCUGAUACAUAGCCACACCUAUAUCCAUACUGGGCCCCUUUAAAAUUCUCCCUAUAUACAGUGAGUUCUACCUGCUUCUCCUGUGCUUGCCUAAGGAAUCAAACCAGUAGCAGAGCACCUCUGUAGGAGAGUUGAUGUAGGAGAGUUUAUAUGCUAAUAUUAUGGAGUUGUUCUAAAGGUGGCUGAUUUAAACAAGAAAGUUUGAAUGUGUGCCUGGUGCAUUUCACAUUACCUUAGCAAUCAUUCACAGUGAGGAAGUGAAGUAGUAGCCAGACAGCAGGACCUUGAAGCUGUCACAAAGCUCUCUGGAUGCUGGUCAGAAGAUUUUUCCACCAAAGAACUUUACAAGAUGGUUGUGAGGAUAAAAUGAGGUGAAGGAGUGUUUCAGCUAGGGAGAGGAAUGGACUAAAGAAAACAUUUGAAGGCAAGUAGCAUCCUUGUCAGGCAUACCUGAACUGGUGGUGUGAACUGGUGGUGUGCAUUGGGCAGCCCUCCUUCAAUUAGACAACUGGGAAAAAAGAAGCAAGUGCUUCACCACAAUUUCUGCUUAGCAGUGGGAAGCAGAUUCAUCAGAAGUGCUGGCUGUGGGAGCCCCCACAAUUGCUGCAGUCAUACCACAGAAAGCAUUGAAUGAAGCAAGCUGAAAUUGUCACGUCCUUUUCUUCAGAGAGCUUACAGCCAGCCUGGGCAGUGAUGUCAAGUCUGCAUGGGCCCUCCUGCUUUUCCUCAACUGUUCUCUUCAGUCUAUGCCAUUGCCUAUCCAAAAUGUUCCCUCUCACAAAGAGGAGGGGAGGGAAGAAAAAAGAGGAGAAUCACGUCCAUUAAAGCCAUAUGACUGCCAGUAUCAAAAGGGACCCAUCACAUCAGAGGUAGUAGUGGAAAAGCAACAAUAUUGGGAGUCAUUGAUGUUUUUUUCUGGCACAAUAACUUUUGUAAUGCCUGCUAGUGACAGGAGAGUCAUGACAUCAUGACAACAGCAAUCGUUCUGUGCUAGCCUAGUGUGAAUGUCUAUGAAAUGCCCAAAAUCAGGCCAUAAAAAGUGUAUUUCUUAGCAGCAAUUAAUACAUAGUAGCCUUGGACACUAUACUGUGUGGAAAGGGAAUAAAGGUCACAUAAAUAAAGACUGCUUCUGAUAAUGAAAGCAAAUGUAUGUUAAUCAUGGCAACAGAGGUCAAUUGAUGUGAUGUGGUAGUAACGCUAGUUAGAUACAGCUAUUAUGCAUAUCUAUAAAUGGAUGCAUAAAAUCACAAUGAAGCGAUGUUUUGUUUCCCCUUCAUAUAUGGAGGUGUACUUUUAUGGAUUGUUGACUUAUUUUGAGAAUUGGUUUAAGAUUACCUCAGGAUAAACAAAAUCUGAAGAGAGUUUAGAAUUUUGUUUGAAAUAUGGACUAUGCAGGAGACAAGUUUCAUCUGUGUAAUUUAGGGACCUGCUGGUGUAACAUAUGUUGAUCUCUAAAACAUUUUAACAUAAUUUACAUUUGUAUUAUAACGGAAGGCUACCAUUGAAAGUAAAUUGCUAUUUUUCUUAACAAAUUAAUGCUCAUCAGCAUUAGAGGUGAUUCAAAUAAAAAAUAAACCAAUGGAAAUCUAGUUUGAAGUAUUAUUAUAACUGGAAGACUGCAUUUUAUUUAUUAUGUUAUUGUUACAAUCAGAUAGAUGGAAAGUAAAAUUGUCAAUCCGAUCAAAACAAUUUUCAUGCAAGAAAACACAGUGUUAUAUGAUUGCAGCAUUAAAUUUUGAACAGUGAGUAAUGAGUAUAUGUGUGUAUGAUAGUAGGCAUUCACUUUACAACUGUAUUAACAAUGUUCCAAUUGUGAAUGUUUUUUCAGAACUGAUUUAGUAAUGUUGAAGAAAGUAUACUGGAUAAACUUUACUCUAAGCACUCGGGUUUUUGGGGGGCACCAUCUGCAACUCUUGUUCUGUUAAGCUUUCCUUUAUAAAACAUAUUAAGAAAGUAAUUGCUGCAGAUAACUCAACUGAUGUCUUAAUUCAAAAUUAUGAUAUAUCUUUCCUAAACUUUUGACCAGACUGUGGCCUAUCUUCCUCCCACAAGAACUGGAAUGAUGCCACUUUCUCUACUUUGGGUGCACGGUAUAAUUGAAGUGCUCAUUAAAAAGAGAAACUAUGUUGAAGACAUGCCUAGAAAUAAUCCUUCAAAAUAGAUUAAUACAUAAAAGUGGCACCUUAUUGGAGUCUGCUGCCAAAUAAAUCCAUAUGGUGUUCAUUAUUCAGACUUAGUUCUUAAU